Molecule: ribosomal RNA, 499 nt
Filed under: uncultured bacterium
Lineage: Bacteria
Description: partial 16S ribosomal RNA
Rfam family: Bacterial small subunit ribosomal RNA
Source: RNAcentral
AUUGAACGCUGGCGGCAUGCCUUACACAUGCAAGUCGAACGGCAGCACGGGAGCAAUCCUGGUGGCGAGUGGCGAACGGGUGAGUAAUAUAUCGGAACGUGCCCAGUCGUGGGGGAUAACGCAGCGAAAGCUGUGCUAAUACCGCAUACGAUCUACGGAUGAAAGCGGGGGAUCGCAAGACCUCGCGCGAUUGGAGCGGCCGAUAUCAGAUUAGCUAGUUGGUGGGGUAAGGCCCACCAAGGCGACGAUCUGUAGCUGGUCUGAGAGGACGACCAGCCACACUGGAACUGAGACACGGUCCAGACUCCUACGGGAGGCAGCAGUGGGGAAUUUUGGACAAUGGGCGCAAGCCUGAUCCAGCAAUGCCGCGUGCAGGAUGAAGGCCUUCGGGUUGUAAACUGCUUUUGUACGGAACGAAACAGCCCUUUCUAAUACAGGGGGCUAAUGACGGUACCGUAAGAAUAAGCACCGGCUAACUACGUGCCAGCCGCCGCAGUAA